GAUGAACGCUGGCGGCGUGCCUAAUACAUGCCAGUCGAGCGAACAGACGAGGAGCUUGUUCCUCUGACGUUAGCGGCGGACGGGUGAGUAACACGUGGAUAACCUACCUAUAAGACUGGGAUAACUUCGGGAAACCGGAGCUAAUACCGGAUAAUAUAUUGAACCGCAUGGUUCAAUAGUGAAAGACGGUUUUGCUGUCACUAAUAGAUGGAUCCGCGGCGCAUUAGCUAGUUGGUAAGGUAACGGCUUACCAAGGCAACGAUGCGUAGCCGACCUGAGAGGGUGAUCGGCCACACUGGAACUGAGACACGGUCCAGACUCCUACGGGAGGCAGCAGUAGGGAAUCUUCCGCAAUGGGCGAAAGCCUGACGGAGCAACGCCGCGUGAGUGAUGAAGGUCUUCGGAUCGUAAAACUCUGUUAUUAGGGAAGAACAAAUGUGUAAGUAAAUAUGCACGUCUUGACGGUACCUAAUCAGAAAGCCACGGCUAACUACGUG
RNAcentral lists this ribosomal RNA (497 nucleotides) under uncultured bacterium. RNAcentral's name for it is "partial 16S ribosomal RNA". It matches the Rfam family "Bacterial small subunit ribosomal RNA", at positions 28 to 507 of the family's 1533-position model. The record is from RNAcentral.